GGUGAGUAAUGCCUGGGAAAUUGCCCUGAUGUGGGGGAUAACCAUUGGAAACGAUGGCUAAUACCGCAUAAUAGCUUCGGCUCAAAGAGGGGGACCUUUUAGGCCUCUCGCGUCAGGAUUUGCCCAGGUGGGUUUGGCUAGUUGGGGAGGUAAGGGUUCACCAAGGCGACAAUCCCUAGCUGGCCUGAGAGGAUGAUCAGCCACACUGGAACUGAAACACGGUCCAAACUCCUACGGGAGGAAGCAUGGGGGAAUAUUGCACAAGGGGCGCAGGCCUGAGGCAGCCAUGCCGCGGGUAUGAAGAAGGCCUUCGGGUUGUAAAGUACUUUCAGCAGUGAGGAAGGCGGGUGGGUUAAUACCGCAUUCUUUUGACGUUAGUUGCAAAAGAAGCACCGGCUAACUCCGUGCCACCAGCCGCGGUAAUACGGAGGGUGCAAGCGUUAAUCGGAAUUACUGGGCGUAAAGCGCAUGCAGGUGGUUUGUUAAGUCAGAUGUGAAAGCCCGGGGCUCAACCUCGGAAUUGCAUUUGAAACUGGCAGGCUAAAGUACUGUAGAGGGGGGUAGAAUUUCAGGUGUAGCGUUGAAAUGCGUAAAGAUCUGAAGGAAUACCGGUGGCGAAGGCGGCCCCCUGAACGGAUACUGACACUCAGAUGCUAAAGCGUGGGGGAGCAAACAGGAUUAGAUACCCUGGUAGUCCACGCCGUCAACGAUGUCUACUUGGAAGGUUGGUGGACCUUGGAGCCUGGGCCUUUCGGAGCUAAGCGCGUUCAAGUAAGACCGCCUUGGGGAGUACGGUCCGCAGGAUUAAAACUCCAAUGAAUUUGACGGGGGUCGGCUCAAGCGGGUGGCAGCAUGGGGCUAGUCC
This 865-nucleotide ribosomal RNA is filed under the name bacterium. Its description in RNAcentral is "bacterial SSU rRNA". It matches the Rfam family "Bacterial small subunit ribosomal RNA", at positions 105 to 952 of the family's 1533-position model. The record is from RNAcentral.